This 817-nucleotide long non-coding RNA is filed under the name Ananas comosus (pineapple). RNAcentral describes it as "long non-coding RNA (ACOM_LNC008566)". The record is from RNAcentral. Lineage: Eukaryota; Viridiplantae; Streptophyta; Magnoliopsida; Poales; Bromeliaceae.
AGAGAAAGUAAGUGUGCAUGCAAGGAAGAAGAAUUUCUACUAUAAAACAAUCACACUACAUCAUCUAUUAGGCUUAGUUUAGUAUCAAGGUCUAUUUGACGCUAUUAGUUAAAAUGAAGUUGAGAUAAAAAUGUAUAGGGAUAUAUUCUGCGUUCUUCGGUAGGAUCGCAGAAAAUAUAUCGUAACCAAUUCAUCUUGAACGCAAAUAUUAUGUAUAGAACAAAAUAGAAUAUUUCCUUAUCGUACUUUUUCACCGCAAUGCAAUCUUUUCUCAAUUCAAAACGAAAUCUUAAUAAUCAAUCAUAUCUCCCUUUAAAUAAAAAAGUAUAAUAAUAAUCUUUUUCUAAUUAAUCAUAAUGGGUUUGAUAAACUCAAAAGAAAUUAAUUUGACUGAUUGGUGAUGUUAUAUCAAAAACAUAACUGAUAUGUUUUUAAAAUAUUUCUUCUUCUUUUUUUUAUGAGGCAGAGAGAUGUAGGGAUGCAAACGGGGCGGAUCCGGGGGCGGGAGAGUUCCCCCACCUCCCACUCCAUUUUUUAUCGGGGCAGGGCGGAUUCGGGGCGGAUUACUUUUCAUUUUAUUUUUAGCUCCCACUUACCGCUCCAUUCGGGGCGGAUCGGGGCGGGAGCCGGAUUUUUGACGGAUCAGGGCGGAUUGAAGGAAGAAAAUAGUCUCCCACCUCCCGCUCCAUUUACUUGGCGGAUCGGGGCGAAUUCGGGACGGGUUAUAUUUUUUUAUAUUUUUUGUUCCCACUUACCACCCUAUUCAGGACGGAUCGGGGCGUAGCUCCACCAACCCGGAUCCAUUUGCAUCCCUAGA